This 4896-nucleotide long non-coding RNA is filed under the name Gossypium barbadense (sea-island cotton). Its description in RNAcentral is "long non-coding RNA (GBAR_LNC015822)". The record is from RNAcentral. Lineage: Eukaryota; Viridiplantae; Streptophyta; Magnoliopsida; Malvales; Malvaceae.
CAACUCCCACACCCAAGCUACCAGCGAAGCCUGAGACUCUUCAUAUCUAGGCUCUAUUGACCUUCUACCACAUGCAAUCUCCAAUGCAACAACUCCAAAGCUAUAGACAUCAGAUUCUUUACUAGCCUUUCCUGAUGAAACACAUUCAGGUGCAAUAUAGCCCAUGGUCCCGGCUAAAAGGGUUGUUUGUGACCCUUUCACAUGAUCGACUAGUCGAGCCAGCCCGAAAUCCCCUAUUUUAGCAUUGAAACUAGAAUCCAACAUAACGUUGCUGGCUUUGAUAUCCCUGUGUAGCACGCAAUGGUCACCUUCUUCAUGUAGAUAGAAAAGAGCUGAUGCCAAGCCCUGCACAAUUUGAAACCUCACAUCCCAGGUCAAUAAGGUUUUACCUUUGAAAAGAUGGGAAUCUAGGCUGCCAUUAACCAUGAACUCAUAAACGAGUAUAAGUUGCCCCUUUUCGUGACACCAGCCAAUAAGCUUGACCAGAUUCUUGUGCCUCAAUCGGCUAAUGAUAUUCACUUCAGAUGCAUAUUCCUUGAUUCCUUGCUUAGAGGCCUUUGAAAUCCGCUUAACAGCCACAUGAGUAUCCAAGUCCCUUAAGUAUCCUCUAUAAACUGCACCAAACCCUCCUUCUCCAAGCUUUUCACCCUUGAAAUUACUGGUCAUUUUAGCUAUUUCCACAAAGGAAAACUUCCUUGGUCCCAUCCCAUUUUGGAAUUCACCACCGAAGAGCUCAUCAAACAUAUCGUAAUCUAAUUUGUUCGCGUUGGGUGUUUUCCUCCUUAAAAUGAACCAAAUGAAACCUAAGCCAAAAAUCAAAGCACCAGCUCCAACAAUCAACCCGACCACAAGACUGAGGCUUAGUCGAGCCGCUGGAGGGGGAGUAGCAACGAAGGUAUUCGAGCCAUCAUCACCGACAGGAGGCCGAGGAGCACGAGAAACCACCGUUUUCGAGGGAGGAGGAGGAGAAGGAGGAGGAGGAAGAGCAGGAGGAGGAGGAGGAGGAGGAAGAGCAGGAGGAGGAGGAGGAGGAGGAAGAGCAGGAGGAGGAGAGGCAUUCGAAGCAACAGUAACUGAAGCGUUAGCUGAUUUAUAUGCGAUUGGUGCAGAUUGCACAUACAUAAGAGGGAACAAAGCUAAGCCUAUGAAACAAAAGGUCAGUGAAAACCUGGUCGACUCCAUUCUAUGUACUAAAUAUAUGAAAAUGGAUUAUAAAAGAAACCAGAAUGAAGUUUGUUUAUGAAUCAAUUAACAGAUCACCACUCUUCAGAACCUAAGUUAAAUAUCGAAUAAAUAUAAUUUUUGAUAUAAAAUAUGUUCUUAAAUCGCGAAGACUUAGACUUACUGUAGUCGUCGAGGCUGACAAAGUCCUAACGUUCUCUGGGGGUUAUUGACGGAAGCAGUGAUGUAUGGAAAGUGAAACAGUCCAAAACUUUUUCUUCGCUAAAGAAUAAAUUAUAAGUUCAUAAUGGGGUGCUUGGAAGCCAAAAAAAUUUUGUAUGGUGAGGAAAUUAAAUUGUAAUUUUUAAUAUAUUAAAAUUAUAAUUUUAUUAUUUUAAUAAUUUAUAUCUUUAUGAUUUUUAAAAGAUUAAAUUAAAUUUUUAUAUUUUUUAAAAAAUUAAAGUAUAAUUUUAUUUUUAUUAAUUUAAAUUUUUUAAAAUUUUAGAAAGUCUGAACAGGAAAUUUUCCUUUUUUGAGAAGUGAGCAGCCCCAGAAAAGUAUAACUUGGGAAUUUUUCGUCUAAUAUAUUUCAAUUUAAUUAGUUAAGAAUUUGGUAAAACUUGUGAGUAUUUUCGUCUAAUAUAUAUGGAGCUUCACGGUUAUUUGAUAUGCCUCCCGCAAAGUAUAACUUAAUAGAAUAGUUAUAUUUUAUUUUUACAACUAGAGAUUAAAAGUAAAACAUUGAAAUAAAAUAUUAAAAAUUGUACUCAUCCAUAGGUAUAAGUCAAUAUUGGUCAAUACGUACAAGUUGGUAGUGAUUAGUAUGUACCGACCGGUACCUCUGAUGCUAGUUGUUAGCUCCAAAUUUGAUAUUGCAGAAAAUUAAUGAAUACUCGAUAUGUUUAUGAAAUUUGAUUUCUCUAUAUUUGCAAUGCCUUAUCUAGAGAGAUAAUCUAUUAUCUUAGCAACACGUACAACAAGUUAUUACAACCUCUAACACUCACCAGAUCAGACUCCUCACUUUUGUACCUAAGAUCUAGACAAUUAUUCUCUAAGUUUUCCUCAUGAAAACUUAGGAUACUAACCAAGCCACACACUUGAUCAUUCACUCAAUGCAUUCAAAAGAGACAUUCCUCAAUGAACAAUAAGAAGUGUUCUCAGUUCAGUACAAAAUAUAUACGAGGCUCUACAAUAUAUAAGGAAUUAGGACUUGCUAACAUACUAAAUCAAUUACAAUCAACAUUCCCUUGAAACUAGCAUGAUAGUAACCAAAAAGAAUAUCUUCAAUCAACUCAAGAUAAGUCUUGAAUCUUUAAAUAUACUUCCAAGUUUCACCCCAUUCAGUCCGAUCCACCAAACCUGUGAAGCUGAUUGCUUUGGUCCAAAUCCAAAACAAUCUUCAAGAUAUGUUGCUAUAUGAAGUUUGGAUAUCAAAGAUAGGUUCGUUAUUGUCCAAAGUAUUAACUAGAAUCACAAUCCAAGGAAUUUUGUUACCAAAAUUUGUCAACUUAAACAUUGUAAGUUUUCUGAGCAGGCAAUGCCACAACUAGUUAUCCUUAAUUCAGGUGUUACUCAAAAAUUGCUUCAAUAAUCUCUCCACAGUUAUCCUUAAUUCAGGUGUUACUCAAAAAUUGCUUCAAUAAUCUCUCCCUUUGACAAAUUUUUGAACAAAACCAUAAUAAGAGAACAUACUUAACAACAAAAACAAAUGCUCCGCUUAAUUAACUCCUCUUUAAUCUAUCAUAUUCAACUAGUAACAUAAUCAAAUAAAUCAAUAGUUAAUGUAUAAGAAUUUAAAUCGCAUUAAUAAUCAAAAUAUUUAAAAUUAUAUUAUAAUAAGUAGAUAGAAAAAAAGGGCUCACAAAACAACAACCAAAGUAAAUAUAAUAGAAGUUUAAAGUCUCCAAAAUUACAACCCAAAAACUUCAAUUUAAAACUAAAAAGCAAAUAUAGGGAUUUUUACUAAAAUAUUAUAAAAAAAAUUACCAAAAUAUUAUACAUUUUUUAUUAUUUAUCAAAAUAAUACAAAAAAAUAAUAAAACAGAAAAAAAAAAAAAGACUGCGACUGACGUGACAGGACACUGAAGGAGGAGGUGCCAUAGGCGGCACCAAAUGUGCCUUUCCCAUAGACGGCACCACUUGUGUUAUAAACCGGGAUCCGUCCAGCUGAAGCAAAAAAAUAAGAAGAAGAAGAAGAGAAUGAGGAGGUGCUGCCGGAAAAAGAGAGAGAAAGAGAAGAGAAAAAAAAUAUUUUUUUAAAAAUAAUUGAUUAUCUUGUUGUUAUGUUUUUUUUUGUAUAAUUUUUAUUAUUUUUUGUAGUUAGUUUAGUUAUUAAGAUUAAUUAAAACUCAAAUUGAUAGUUUUAGUUAGUAUUAUUAUUAGUAGUUUUUAGGGUUUAGAUGUUACUUAGUAUUAUUGUUAAAAAACUAAUAUUAUUAUUAUGGUUAGUUAUUAUUUUAGUAAAACCCUAAUUAUUAUUGUUAGUUAGUAUUAUUUCAGUAUAAAACAAUUAUUAUUGUUAUUGUGUUAGUUAUUAGGAUUAGUGGUUAAACAUUGUUCAUGUACAAAAUGAUAACUGAAAAAGUAUGAGCUUAAGGAUGAAAAAUUGCAUAUUGAAAAAUUAAUUUUUUUUAUUUAAGUAAUUUAUUUACCGUUCGAGAUUUUUUUUGAGAUUUUGUUUAUUUUUUGACAGAUUGAAUAUUGAAGAAGGAUGAUAAGUUUUUUGUAUGCGUUUAUUUCGAUGGAGUCAUCUUGACAAAAAAUAUUGGGUGUGUAUUUGAAUGUCGGCAACAAAUAGUAAUGAGAUUUAAUAGAAAUGUCUUGUUGGAUGAAAUGAAGGCAAGGAUUAAUGCAAAAAUUCUUAGACGUUGUAGGAGAAGGAUUAAUGCAAAAGGGGUGGGCUAAGUGUCUUGGGUAUACUAUUCAUAUAAACUAGGUUAUUGUUCAAAUUUUUUGAGUAACUCAAUAUUUUAGCACUUUUUUAAAAAAAAUUUGGUACAAUUAGCACACCCUUAAAGGGGUAAAUCGCUCACACCACAAAAAGGUGAUCUCUGUGACUUGAAUCCCACGACAUAGGUUAUGGGAUGAGCUUCAUGACUUUUAACAUAUGAAUCAAAGUCAAUACAAUUUUUUCCAAUUUUUCUACUAGUAUUGAUCUAACGCGGGAUUGUAAUAGACACCGUAGAAAAACAUGGCUCACUUACUUGAAUUCCAGAAGUAGUUUGCACAUCAUAUGUGGGAGUAGGCCUCCUACUUGGAAGUUUUGGCAAUGGUGCCUCAAAAUUAAGAACCUGAAUUACCUGUCUUAUCGACGGUCUCAAAUUUUGGUCCGGAUGGACGCACCACAGCCCAACCAUCAACAAGCAUUCCAUUUGUAUAGCAUCGAAGUCCAUGCCUAAUUUCAGGUCAACUGCACCAAGUAUCUGUUGGUUUCCGUACAACUCCCACACCCAAGCUACCAGCGAAGCCUGAGAUUCUUCAUAUCUAGGCUCUAUUGACCUUCUACCACAUGCAAUCUCCAAUGCAACAACUCCAAAACUAUAGACAUCAGAUUCUUUACUAGCCUUUCCUGAUGAAACACAUUCAGGUGCAAUAUAGCCCAUGGUCCCGGCUAAAUGGGUUGUUUGUGACCCUUUCACAUGAUCGACUAGUCGAGCCAGCCCGAAAUCCCCUAUUUUAGCAUUGAAACUAGAAUCCAACAUAACGUUGCUGGCUUUGAUAUCCCUGUGUAGCACG